This 271-nucleotide ribosomal RNA is filed under the name uncultured bacterium. RNAcentral describes it as "partial 16S ribosomal RNA". It matches the Rfam family "Bacterial small subunit ribosomal RNA", at positions 524 to 794 of the family's 1533-position model. The record is from RNAcentral.
UACGUAGGGGGCGAGCGUUGUCCGGAAUUACUGGGCGUAAAGGGCGUGUAGGCGGCCCGUGAAGUCAGGAGUGAAAACUCGAGGCUCAACCUCGAGAUUGCUUUUGAAACCAGCGGGCUUGAGUGCAGGAGAGGAAAGUGGAAUUCCCAGUGUAGCGGUGAAAUCCGUAGAUAUUAGGAGGAACACCGGUGGCGAAGGCGGCUGCCUGGACCGAUACUGACGCUGAGACGCGAAAGCGUGGGGAGCAAACAGGAUUAGAUACCCGUGUAGU